GUCACGUGAGUCCGAGUCUUCCUGACCCAGGGGAGCAGGAGGCUGCGGCCAAGCUGACCCACAGUUUCAGCCAAGUGAUCGCCACCGUGAGAGGCCAGGGAAGGGAGCUCCAACAGGGCCCCGCGCAAGACUGUGGAGCAUGCUCUCGUGAUGUGGACAGUGCCAACCCUCCCUGCUGUGCUCCACACAGAUGGAUUUGACGACCUCUGGAGAGGCGACUGACAGUUCAGAGGACACUCAAACAAGAAAACAUGCAGUGGCAAAUCCAGUGUGGCCAGGAAUCCAGGAGAAUGAGAGGGCAGAACACUUUAAAGGAGAAGGAGCAGGGAGCCACACAGAAGGCAGAGGAGCCAGGCGGUGGAGUCAGUGGAAAAGAGAGAGGCACGCACGGAGCCGGCUGUCACCUCCCAAGUCAUCUCAGGUGUUUCAUUUGCAAAAGGACAGGGGCCGGGGAUCUAGCUCAGUGGUGCCUCCUGCCUUGCAAGCACAAGGGCCUGAGUUCGAUCCCCCGUACAAAAAAAAAAAGCUCUCCGCAGUGUACAAAGUGAGAUUGUUUGUUCUGGACAUUAACUUAUGCAGGGUGCUCAGCUUGCUACCUGGUAAGUGGCCAGCGAAUCAUCUGUGUUAA
This 628-nucleotide long non-coding RNA is filed under the name Fukomys damarensis (Damara mole-rat). Its description in RNAcentral is "lncRNA (ENSFDAG00000030050.1)". The record is from RNAcentral. Lineage: Eukaryota; Metazoa; Chordata; Mammalia; Rodentia; Bathyergidae.